GUUCCCUUAAACGCUUUAUUG
Molecule: microRNA, 21 nt
Filed under: Arabidopsis lyrata
Lineage: Eukaryota; Viridiplantae; Streptophyta; Magnoliopsida; Brassicales; Brassicaceae
Description: aly-miR395f-5p
Gene: aly-miR395f-5p
Source: miRBase by way of RNAcentral